GGCAGAGAUGCAUUCAUACCUUAACUUUGUCAUUUCACAGGCAGAGUGAACAUAGAAAGCUGCUUAGAUCUCUCCAGGUUCUGCUCAGUGGCAAUCAGAGGCUGAGUGUCAUUGGACGGUUUCUGAAAGGCUGUUGUCUCUACUGCAGCCCUCACUUCUGCUGCCUUUGGGAAUCUGGCUUCUCCUCUCUCCUACGGCAUUGCUCCCUGAAGGCUGUGUCCAGACGCUGUCCACCGUGAGAGUGAAGGCAGGGGUUUCUGAUUGUGGAAGAGACAUUUCUAAGGUUUCAUCGAAUCUGUCAAAGACAAAACUCCCUGGAGGUGAAACCCCUCCUCCCCGGCAGGCAAGCUAGGAUCUCCCCAAGCUUCUCCCGGAAGAUAAUAGACUUCAGUUCCUAGAGAAACAUGCCUGUCCUCAGAGAAGCCCAGAGUGCUUUCAGGGUCAGCAGAAAGGCUGAAGGUUUGGCC
RNAcentral lists this long non-coding RNA (467 nucleotides) under Fukomys damarensis (Damara mole-rat). RNAcentral describes it as "lncRNA (ENSFDAG00000027365.1)". Lineage: Eukaryota; Metazoa; Chordata; Mammalia; Rodentia; Bathyergidae. The record is from RNAcentral.